RNAcentral lists this microRNA precursor (87 nucleotides) under Myotis brandtii (Brandt's bat). Its description in RNAcentral is "mir-9229 microRNA precursor family". It matches the Rfam family "mir-9229 microRNA precursor family". Lineage: Eukaryota; Metazoa; Chordata; Mammalia; Chiroptera; Vespertilionidae. The record is from Rfam by way of RNAcentral.
GAGACACCCCUAUGGAGCAGGACUUGCUUCGGUGGGGCUUUGGUGGGGCUUUGGUGCUCACUGAGUCUGCCCUUUGAGUGUGUCACU